UUUGCCUUCUGAACUAGAAACAGGGAUUUGUAAAAUAAUGUGCAGUGAUGGCGUGGAAAACUAACCAGCAGCACUCCUGAAACGCUGCCUUCGUGUUCCCCUGGGACUGCUCGCCUCACCCCAAAACUAUUUCUACUGCCUUCCCCUUCCAUGCUACAACUAGUCUCCAAAGGUAGUUUUCUCUACUAACAAAGCAAACAGAUCAUAUGAACGGACAUCAGACUUUCUUAGGAGAUUUCUGAAAAUUCUCUCUUCUGGGGAAAUAAAUUGUGAGCAUUUCGAUUCAAACAUUCCUGAAAGAAUAACCAGGCAACCAAAACACUCAGUGACCUAACUGUGGUGGGCUGGUCACUUCAAACUUAACAGAACAAUAGAACAUAUACUACUUUAUGGCCAAAAAAAAAAAAUCUUUUUAAAACAAUAAGUGUGGACAAAGUGUUUUCACAGAUGAAGAGAUGAAGUUCCUGAAAUUUAGGGUUUCAUUUCUCAAGGGUCUCCUUUAAACAAACAAACAGUUAUGAUUUCAAAGUAGACAUGUGCCUUUAACACCAUUUUUAAAAAUUACCAGCCUUAGCAAAGGUGUAGAAAAAACUUGUUCUCAAGCACUGUCCGUGGAAGAAUUAGUAAAACAUUUCUAGAAAACCUGUUACCGUCUUAACAAACUUUUAAACACAUGUAGCAAUUCUACUUCCAGGAACUUAUCUAUUUGCCAAGACAUAUAUGCAAGGAUCUUCCCUAUAGGGUUGUGUAUAAAGGAAAAAUCAGACAGACUAUGCCAGGAACCCUCUGAAAGAGAAGAGUCAACUGUGGAGGGGGCACCUGUGAAUGAAUCCUGCGGAGUUGCUAACAGAGCAGACUUACACACACAACAUGGUAAAGUUCCAUGACACUGCACACAGGGGAUUACACACACAACAUGGUAAGGUUCCAUGAUGCCACACACAGGGGAUUACACACACCACAUGGUAAGGUUCCAUGACACUGCACCCAGGGGAUAACACACAACACAUGGUAAGGUUCCAUGACACUGCACACAGGGGAUUACACACACAACAUGGUAAGGUUCCAUGAC
RNAcentral lists this long non-coding RNA (1072 nucleotides) under Homo sapiens (human). RNAcentral's name for it is "HSALNT0384937". Lineage: Eukaryota; Metazoa; Chordata; Mammalia; Primates; Hominidae. The record is from RNAcentral.